GGAGGUAGAGCACAUGCUUAGAAUGCAUGGGGUCCUGGGUUCAAUCCCCAGCACCUCCU
RNAcentral lists this transfer RNA (59 nucleotides) under Camelus bactrianus (Bactrian camel). It matches the Rfam family "tRNA", at positions 15 to 71 of the family's 71-position model. Rfam says of the family: Transfer RNA (tRNA) molecules are approximately 80 nucleotides in length. RNAcentral also lists the same sequence under 1 other name. Lineage: Eukaryota; Metazoa; Chordata; Mammalia; Artiodactyla; Camelidae. The record is from Rfam by way of RNAcentral.